Molecule: long non-coding RNA, 4642 nt
Organism: Fukomys damarensis (Damara mole-rat)
Lineage: Eukaryota; Metazoa; Chordata; Mammalia; Rodentia; Bathyergidae
Exons: 3
Source: RefSeq, a predicted model, not a curated record
GUAGGAGGAGGAAGCAGCUGAAGCCACUGGCCCACGGCCCCAGCCCCGCUUCCGCCCCCCGUGGGGCCGCGAACCCGGAAACCUCCGCGGCCCCCGCGGGUGGGGGGCACAGAGGGGAGGGACCCGGUCGCAGCCCAGACUUUGCCAAGCCGCGUCUCUGGGGGCCCUGAUCCUCGGCCGGUUUCCCCGAGGGCAGAGCUGGGGCAGGGCCGUGGAGUCCUGCCUGGGGCUUCACAGUGCUAAAGCAGCAAAGGCUGGAUCGAAAGAACAGCUCCAAACCAGUGAUCCUAAUUUCAUCGCCAAGGACCCCGGAGCAUCCAUGUUUUGGCAAAGGAAUACAAACUACUGGUCAUCUUUUAAAAAGCAAUUAGAAGAUCUGGCCACACUGGAUCCACAUUCCUCUGUGGCCUCAGCCAGCACAGCCGAGUGGAGCUUGCCUGAAUCUGGAGCAGGUGCUGCCCUGUGUCCACCUGACCCACGAGUGCUGCUUCUGCUACAGAAUAGAGGGCUCAGAGCACAGUGUGCCCACCUGGGAUCUUCUUUGUUCACAUCCAUGUACAAAAGACAACAGUGCAAUCACAAUCCCUCACCUAAAUUUCAAUCCUGCGUUUCUAACACCGAUUAAUCCUUCCCACUCCCCGGACCAGUGGGAUGUGGCUCAUGAUUGUGGUUGGUUCAAAACUGUGGGCCUCGGGGGCAUUACUGGAUCACCAUAAUUCCACAACUCAUAUGUUUAACAAUGUAUCGUAAGGCAUCUGAGCAUCACGAAGCCCUUGGUGGGUGGUGUUCUUGCCAGAGAUGCAGAAGACCAACUUAAUCAGGAGAAAACACCGAGAAAACCCACACUAAGAAAUAUUCGAAAAAAAUAACUUACCAGAGCUCGUCCCAGUGUCAAGGUCAGGGAAGACAGGAAACCAGCCCUGGAUGGGAGAAACCAAGAAGACACAGUGAUGAAAAUGCAGGAUGAGGUCCUGGCCUGAAUCCUGGAACAGGAAGAAGAUACUGGGGAAACCACUGGUGAGAUUCACCCCUCCCAUCAAGCUUGAAAACAAAAGAGAACAAGAAAGACUACUCCACGUGCACCAACCAGGGCCCCGGCUCCACAUCUGUAAAAUGGGGGCAAUGGAGGUGCCAGUCUCAGAAGGCAACUGUGAGUUUUCAAUCAAAGAAUGUGCACGGCGCACCUCCCGCCCAACCUGGCACAUAAUAAAUACUAAAUGAUAGCUGCUGUUGUUGCUCCUCCCACUUACUUUCCAAACAAGGGAGACAAUAAAGAGCUCGCCCCUUAGUGGAGACUGGGGGACCUCGAUGCCUGCUACUCAUCUGCGGUUUUACAAAAGCAAUUACAGCUCGCCUGUGAUCGCGAGUCUCCGCGUCGUCCUUGAAGCCAAGCCGGAGCUGCCCUGUGAAGAGCGGAAGGCAGUGCCCUUCUGAGCGUCCCGACGCUGUUUAUUAUGCCGGCGAGGCCGCUCAGACUCAUUACCGCUGCCGAAUACAGGCCCCCGGAGGCCGGAGUGGAGCCGGAUAAUUACCAGCAGAUCCCUAAUAGGGAUGGACUCAAUGGAAAGAAGUCAAUCAGCAACGCCGGCGUUUGUGUCUACACUAUUCUGACCCGCGCUUGCUGGGGCGCAGGAGACUGCUAAUGAGGGCCCCGCUUCGGAGGCCAGGAGCCCUGACCACGCACGGCUCAGCCCCGGAGAACCUGGUGGCCGGAAGAAUCCCAACAAGGGGGUCCUCCCUGACCCUCCUGAGGGCCGCCGUGGGGUGAACUCAGAGACCCGCUGUGUGCCACACUCUCCUCUGCCUUGACGGCCCAGCCGGCCCACUCCAGCGCCGGCUCUGAGUCCAUAAGAAACGCCGCGUUCAUGAGAUCUCCUUGGCGAACCAUCCUCCGCCUUCUGCCCUCCUGUCUCCUGCUCCACUCCAGCCCUCCUUCACGCUUGUUCCAGGUAGCAGCCUUUACCACCCGGUAGUAACUUCUCGGAGCCACCUCAUCCCUCCUCGCUGGUUCUCUGCGUGGCCCCAGGGGAUGAGGCUUUUAUUGCUCAUGUCCUCCUAUCUGCUUUCCUUGCAGCUUGGUGUAGGCUGCACUUUAACCUAAAAACAUGACUGAUGAGAGUCCCUGCGAGUUACCCCUCCAGAGGUAAGGAUUUCAGCCCACAAACUGGAGCCGCAAGGAACUGAGUCUUCUGGGGUGGUGCUGUACGCUGAUCUUCAUUGAUACCUCAAGCUCGUUUCCUUGGGUCAUGGAGAUGCAACCUCAGCCACUCCAGAAAGUUCCCACUUGUUCCCCGGGUGGGUGGGACACUACAUCCUGGGGGCAGGGCGGCCAGAGGGUGAACUGGUCCCGUAUCCCUGCCCACCAUCCACACUGGCAUCCUCCAGGCCUUGUGCUGCUCCCCUCCUGUCUCCUCCGUCUUCGGUCACCUGCAGUCCGCCCCCAGGAGAGUCCCUGCUGAGAUCUGUUCAUCUCUGCCCCAGAGUCACCCUGGGUGCAGUCACUUGGCUAUUUCCAAAUCCUUCCCCCAACAGCAAACGUCCACCUUCCUUUCAUCCCACAAUCCCUCCUCUCAAGCACUAAAAUACACCGACUUGGCAGAGAGGGAAAGCCAUGGAAUAAGGGAAGAGUCCUUGUUUAGCAUCUAAAAUGAUUAUUCCCCCCACCCCGAAGAUAUGACAAAGGAAAAAUCUGUAGCACGAGUGCCCCAAUUCUGUACGUAGUUGCUGGCCCUGAAAGGAACACAGUACGGGUGAACUGGUAAAGCAGAAAUUAGUGUGGAAAUUACCAUAGCCGAGGAUACGUCCUCUGGCCUCGGAGGCUGUGAGUGACUUUCUUUGCUGCAGGUUCCACACAGCCAUGAAAGCAUGCCAAUAUGGAGGGGUGCCUGAGCCCACAGAAGCUUUUUUGCCUCCCCUAAGGCUGUGGGCGCGUGUGUGAUUGCAUCACCCUAGGAACAGCGGGGUCCACCACGUUGGCUGCCCACCAUUUAUUUGCUCUUGGGAUGAUUUGUCGAGAUCUACAGACUAUGUGAGAUUUGAGUAAAACCCAGAGGCAGCCAGGCCCCCACAGGCUCCUGCAUAUGUAGCUGCCUGAGCUGGAAACGGAGAGCAGUUCAUAGCCCCAGAGAGCUCCACCUCGGGGCUACAUCCGUCCCCUGGACCUUUCUCAUCUUCAAAUUCUCUGGAGCUUGCUUCUUCAUCCACUCUUCCAAACCUAAGCAAAAUCAACCACAAAAAAAAACAUUCCCACUUCUCUCUCUCGUGCCUCACCACUGACAUCUAAGACCUCUUGGGUCCUCCACAGAGACCUGGUUCCUUGACUAUGCAACCCUGGUAUCCCCCAGUUAAACCCGAGCCAUCCUGGAGCUUCUGGGCAUCUCCUAGAGGUUCCCUGCAUCAUAAACGCCAAUUCCCCAGCUGUGACCGCUUACCCUCCCCACUGUACCCAUGCAUCGGUGACACUGGGCAUCCAGUAUCUUGUCCUCUUCUCCCCCAUCGAGGAGCUUUUUCCUAGUUUCACAAGCCCUCAUUUCAGCUACUUGCUUCCCGCCCACACUCCUGGUUCCCUCGCUCCUCUUCCUCUGUGUCUCUGCCACCACCAGCCAAGCCCAGAAUUUGCUCAGCCUGCCAGUCACCCCACUGUCACUACAAAGCAUGAUCUCCAGCAUUGGGUUCACUCUUCAGCCUGUCUAGGAAUCAUUUAAAGAAAGAAGUUGGGUAGAAAUAGGUUCAGGUUUCACUGUCAAUCUCAAUCGAGCCUCUUAGCUUCAUUUAGGCUGAUGCCUGUGCCCCUGAAAACCUGGAGCAAAGGUAAGGCCAACUGUGGAGUAGCAACAGGGUUCUGUUCUAAUGGAUCUAGUAGGCUGUAGCACGCCUGCUGCUGUUCCACUUAAGAGACAACAUUGCUUGCUCCAGGGACGGUUUUGGAGAAUUCUGGAAUCAGUUCCCCACCACAGUGUGAUGCAUGUUAGAGGUAGCAUUUCUCAAAGACCCCUUCCUUCGUGACUGUGUCCCUCCCUGCACAAUGGCCAAAGUGAGCAAAGGUUGUCCACCCCAGGAGGGAUUCACAGUACAUCUCCCCAACUUUGGGAGCUCCAAGCAAACCAGCACUUUUUCGUAUGGACAAGACUUACUCUCUUGGCACCUGGAAAUGGUGACUGAGGGGCAGGCCUCUGCCUACUGGUAGAACACACAAGCUUUCUGAAUAAACACCUGCGGCUCCCUGCACUUUUGUCCCUCCGCGACACACCCACCAUCGAUCUCAGUUAGCGCUUACUGCCAGCCCCUUCCAGUAUUCGGUCUACAUGGCUGCCUUGAAACACCCCUGGGCGAGUGGUGGGCUCCCUUGGCUCGUCUGCCUCUGGGACUCACACUGUGCAUGCUCGCUCACCCCUCAUCUCAUGGACAGAUAACUGCCAGCCAGGUAAGUGGCCAUUUGGACAACUUGCCAAAUCGAGGCUUUGAUGACUGCGGCCCAGCUGUCAUCUACCUACGGUGGCAGAAAACACCCCGAGCAAAGGCCGUGUGGCUGGACCCAUCCAGAAAGAGUGCCCAACAGGUGUUCUAAGCUUUAGGAUUGUUCCCUACAGCAGCAAUUUAAAAAUCAGCCAGGCAUGGUUACAUGACACACCUGACCUGUACA